This 484-nucleotide ribosomal RNA is filed under the name uncultured bacterium. Its description in RNAcentral is "partial 16S ribosomal RNA". It matches the Rfam family "Bacterial small subunit ribosomal RNA", at positions 30 to 507 of the family's 1533-position model. The record is from RNAcentral.
AUUGAACGCUAGCGGGAUGCUUUACACAUGCCAGUCGAACGGCAGCGCGGACUUCGGUCUGGCGGCGAGUGGCGAACGGGUGAGUAAUGUAUCGGAACGUGCCCAGUAGCGGGGGAUAACUACGCGAAAGCGUAGCUAAUACCGCAUACGCCCUACGGGGGAAAGCAGGGGAUCGUAAGACCUUGCACUAUUGGAGCGGCCGAUAUCGAAUUAGCUAGUUGGUGAGGUAACGGCUCACCAAGGCGACGAUCCGUAGCUGGUUUGAGAGGACGACCAGCCACACUGGGACUGAGACACGGCCCAGACUCCUACGGGAGGCAGCAGUGGGGAAUUUUGGACAAUGGGGGCAACCCUGAUCCAGCCAUCCCGCGUGUGCGAUGAAGGCCUUCGGGUUGUAAAGCACUUUUGGCAGGAAAGAAACGUCGCGGGCUAAUACCCCGUGGAACUGACGGUACCUGCAGAAUAAGCACCGGCUAACUACGUG